Molecule: ribosomal RNA, 391 nt
Filed under: Labyrinthulaceae sp.
Lineage: Eukaryota; Bigyra; Labyrinthulida; Labyrinthulaceae
Description: partial small subunit ribosomal RNA
Rfam family: Eukaryotic small subunit ribosomal RNA
Source: RNAcentral
AUUCCAGCUCCAAUAGUGUAUAUUAAAGUUGUUGCAGUUAAAAAGCUCGUAGUUGGAUUUCUGAUCGAAGCGACCAUACCGGGCUUGAUUGUCCGUGUAAUGUGUUGUCUUCAGUCAUCCUUGUGGAGAGUAUUUCUGGCAUUAAUUUGUUGGAGGUAGGACCCGCAUCAUUUACUGUGAAAAAAUUAGAGUGUUCAAAGCAGGCAAUUCGCUUGAAUACAUUAGCAUGGAAUAAUAAGAUAGGACUUUGGUGCUAUUUUGUUGGUUUGCACACUAAGGUAAUGAUUAACAGAAUCAGUCGGGGUAUUCGUAUUCAAUUGUCAGAGGUGAAAUUCUUGGAUUUAUAGAAGACGAACUACUGCGAAAGCAUUUACCAAGGAUGUUUUCAUCG